This 506-nucleotide ribosomal RNA is filed under the name uncultured bacterium. RNAcentral's name for it is "partial 16S ribosomal RNA". It matches the Rfam family "Bacterial small subunit ribosomal RNA", at positions 29 to 523 of the family's 1533-position model. The record is from RNAcentral.
AGUGAACGCUGGCGGUAGGCCUAACACAUGCAAGUCGAACGGCAGCACAGGAGAGCUUGCUCUCUGGGUGGCGAGUGGCGGACGGGUGAGGAAUACAUCGGAAUCUACUCUGUCGUGGGGGAUAACGUAGGGAAACUUACGCUAAUACCGCAUACGACCUACGGGUGAAAGCAGGGGACCUUCGGGCCUUGCGCGAUUGAAUGAGCCGAUGUCGGAUUAGCUAGUUGGCGGGGUAAAGGCCCACCAAGGCGACGAUCCGUAGCUGGUCUGAGAGGAUGAUCAGCAAAACUGGAAAUGAGAAACGGUCCAGACUCCUACGGGAGGCAGCAGUGGGGAAUAUUGGACAAUGGGCGCAAGCCUGAUUCAGCCAUACCGCGUGGGUGAAGAAGGCCUUCGGGUUGUAAAGCCCUUUUGUUGGGAAAGAAAUCCAGCUGGCUAAUACCCGGUUGGGAUGACGGUACCCAAAGAAUAAGCACCGGCUAACUUCGUGCCAGCCGCCGCCGUAA